Long non-coding RNA from Chlorocebus sabaeus (green monkey), 3019 nucleotides. RefSeq lists it as uncharacterized. NCBI's taxonomy places the organism in Eukaryota, Metazoa, Chordata, Mammalia, Primates, Cercopithecidae. The record is from RefSeq and is a predicted model, not a curated record.
CACACACACUCGCACGCACAGGGCCCGGAGGAGGCGGAGAGCCGGGCCGGGAGCCCAGCGGCCGGGCCAUUGUCUGCGCGGCCACACAAAGCGGCCGGGCGGUGGCCGCGCGGGGACCCCGGCCCGGGCCCGGCAGGCGCAGAGUGGGGCGGGACGGCCGUGGCACCCGUACCUCGCACCCCGCCGCUGCGGACACGUGGGGAAACUGAGGCCGGGAGUGGCGAUGAGCCCCAACGCCAGAGGACGAGCUCCUCGUCCGGGGAAGGUUUCGUCUUCCGGACGCUCCCCCGGUCCACCCCCCAUUUUCACGCCCUGCCCCCACGGAGAGACCCAUGGGCCCACCGGGAACGAGGAGGGGCGCGCGCUUCGCCGCCUCAUCAACCCGCACUCCUGGACCCCUCUUCAAAGGCACCAGGCUGGGCAGGCGCUUCCCGGAGUUGGACAUAGACUUUGUGGCCGGUGGUUAUUUUUAUACCCUGGGUAGUUCUCUGCCUGACUUUUAAAUUCCAGAUUUGUUUGAAAACGAAAGGAAGCACUCCUGCCCCGGGACAGCUGGGGCCUCCUCCGCGCCGCGCGCUGCCCGCCGUCUCAGGCGGCUGGAAUUCGGGUUUGGGUGUGAGGUACCUGCGAGCCGCCAAGCCCAGCCUUCCUGAGCAGGCGCCGAGGCGCCCGGCCGCGCCCACGCUCCGCGCCCCCACCGCGAGCUUGCUGCCCGCUUAGACCUCAGGGCCCGGGCUGCGAGGCACAGGGGCUGACCAGUCACGCAGGCUACACGUGGUGGCCCGGGUCAGGGGACGCUAAUGGGGAGGGAGGUGAGGAGGUGAUGACCGCGUGUGGACAGGCAUGACACCGCCCAGAGGUAAAACAGCCCAAGGCCAGAGAGGUGUCCUGCUGCCUGGGUGCCCCUCAAGUCGGGCCACCUGGAGCUGGAUUCCACAAGGGGUCCGGUGGCCUGUCCCGGUGGGAGGUCUUGGUUCCACUUGGGACAGGAGUGCCCUGGUUGGGCAGUCCACCCCCAGCACAGCCAGAGGCCAAGGUAGCCCUCUCCUCCUCCGCCUCUUCACUGAUGCCUGGGCCCCUACCAAAGGCCACCCUGUGCCCCUUACACACCCUGUCCAACAGACAGCCUGCCCCCCUCCCUCCGGGAUGAGGGCCACUGUUGACACCUGGUCCUCACCCACUGUGGUCACAGCCACAACAAACCCACUUCCCCACUGCACAUGGCAUGCCGGCCCAACCCACUGCCCUUCUAAAACAGUUUCUCCUGCCAGGGAGGGGGCGACAAACAUAGGCUAGGACCGAGAAAGAGCCCCCAUAAGCGCCAGCAUACACUGCGCAAGUGCCAUGUGCCCAGCUGGUUCCAGGCCUGUCUCUGUCACUGCUUUGGCCCCGUUCUGACUGUACUCAGGUGGAGGGGGGAGGUCCCAGAUGGACAAGGCCUGGGCCAGAUUGCAGGUCCACUUCCUAUCAACCGUGUGGCCUGGCUGGGUCACUUCCCUCCUUGUAUCUCAGUUUCCUCAUCUGUAAAGUGGGGACAACCACUCCCUCCUCAGACUCACUGAGAUGACUAAAUGAGAUAAUAUGGAGAGUCGGCCCUCAGGAGGAGGAGCUUGGUGUGAAGGUUAUUGUGAUGAUGAUGAUGAAAUGACGCUGAGUUAGGCAGGCCCUUUGCGUAUGCUCAGUGCUGGGAGAGCAAGGCCUUCUCCAGCCUUCUGGGAUCACUGAUUCUUGAGUCAGGUUUUGGAGGAGGGAGGUUCCGUCAGGCAGCGGCCGCCCAGGCAGCAGGGCCGGCUGAGCAGCGGCCUGCGGAGGGAAGGAGCAGCAGGUCGCAGCCGGCAAGUCAAGACAUGCCAGGUAGUGGUGGGAAGGCUGGGCCGAAGUGUCUGAGGUCACCUCCCAACAGUGGGCUGUGUGGCACGCUGUACUCCCCACCCCAGCCCCAUCUCACUCCUUGUCCCCGAAAACUCAAGACUCAGGAGCUGUUGGUGCUUGGAGUCGGGGAGGCACACGCAGACAGAUUUCCACGUGGGUUCCUCCUGGGAAGGCUGAAGGUUCCAGAAGGGCCCUCUGUUCCUAAGGAACACCGGAAGGCGUCAUCCCCUGCUCUAGAGACCACGUGGAGAGUGCACGGAGUCCGGAGUCCUGCAGAUCUGGGCUCACAUCCAGCCUCCGUGCCCACAGACGAUGGAAACACUGAGGCCGAGAGCAGCAGUGACUGACUCCAGACCACGCGGUGACUCUGGCACCGCAGUCACCAGAUGCAGGGCUGAGGUCAGUGGUCAGAACCCCCAGGGAAGCCCCCAGACAACCACUGACCUCCGCCCCCAGCCUCCAAUGAGCCGCACCGCCUCCCUGCUUCUCACAGCGCAGGUCGGCUGGCCUGAGCAGCUGGUGCCAGGUGAGACCAAAGUCCAGGGGGAAGGGACACAGGUGACAGACUUGGAAAACAGGGUGCUGAGGAAGGUACCAGGAGGAGAAGGCCAUAGCCUGGCUCUGCCACCAACUCUUACAUGGCCCUUGGACAAGGGCACUCUCAAGACAUCAGUCUCUUCUUCUACAAAAUAGAGAAAAGAACCAGCUAAUCACAGAAAUAAGAAUAUGACUACAGGGAAACAGAAUGACAACCUGUCUCACAGGAGCUAAGGAGACACACGGAGGCCAACGCUCCCAGCCUGGGGCCGAGCCCAGCCUCCCUGGCUCUGAAGGUGGCACGCCGCUCCCUGGCGCCUCUGCACCGUGCACCCCCAGACGCCCAUCAGGCGAGGAGAUUAUGUGUUUUAUCGGGGGCAUUUAUUAUCGACACUUUCUCCAUACAUCUCCCCCUGCACAUGUGUGUACAUACAAGGCGGAUGGAUGUGCGGGAAGGCCCCGAGCCCGGUCCCCCCGAUGUAGUCGAGCGGCCCCCAUAAAGAUAACGGGAAAUGAUUCAUAAUAUUUAUUUGACAGACAUGAUAUGAACCGUAAUAGUCUGUUGGGAUUAAAAAUAUCCGUACAUCUCUGUCAUCCACCAAUGUGGUUU